AGCAGCCAUCAUUUAAAGAAAGCGUAAUAGCUCACUGGUCGAGUCGGCCUGCGCGGAAGAUGUAACGGGGCUAAACCAUGCACCGAAGCUGCGGCAGCGUCACUAUGUGUUGUUGGGUAGGGGAGCGUUCUGUAAGCCUGCGAAGGUGACCGGUGAGGGUUGCUGGAGGUAUCAGAAGUGCGAAUGCUGACAUAAGUAACGAUAAAGCGGGUGAAUAGCCCGCUCGCCGGAAGACCAAGGGUUCCUGUCCAACGUUAAUCGGGGCAGGGUGAGUCGACCCCUAAGGCGAGGCCGAAAGGCGUAGUCGAUGGGAAA
RNAcentral lists this ribosomal RNA (315 nucleotides) under Klebsiella pneumoniae. RNAcentral's name for it is "partial 23S ribosomal RNA". It matches the Rfam family "Bacterial large subunit ribosomal RNA", at positions 1111 to 1425 of the family's 2925-position model. Lineage: Bacteria; Pseudomonadati; Pseudomonadota; Gammaproteobacteria; Enterobacterales; Enterobacteriaceae. The record is from RNAcentral.